AACCCCAUACCACUCUAUGAAACACGGUUAGGAAAAUACAAAAGAAUUCACUCAUACUUUCAGGUUGAAAUUACAUUGCUUCUUAGUUGAGAUCUAGUUUCAUUAAAGAAACUGAGAGAUAAGAUUAUUUCUUUAUAUUUAUUUCUAUACAAUUUUUAAGUAGUUGUAAAAUGGGAUUUCAAUUCAACAUACUAAUUUGUGGAGUAUAAUGCAUCUUCAUCAGAGGUAAGAUUUAAAAAUAGUUGGCAGAGAUCAAGUUCCUAAACAAAUCAAAUUUGCCAAGACUUUUUCAAACUGUGUAUUAAUUUUCAGUGUCUGAUAGUGGCCUGCUCCAGACACUUCAAGGGAAGUCCAUUUGUCUCUGACCAAUGAAGCCCAAAGGACUCACUGCACAAAAGAACUCCUUUCUUGUCUCCAAUUUAUGUCUAGAAUCUGAAGGUUCAUAGCUUCCUUUUGCUUUUGUGAGUCUGCACAGGCACGGUUCCUCCUGCAUGAUUUGGUCUGGAGGAAGUGACCCACCCACAACCCCACAGAGCUAAUUAACCCCACACUGAGCAUUUUUCUCUCAUUUCACACAUCCACUCGGUGUUUUAAAUGACCCAGCAGCAGAUCAUAUAAUUUUUUCCCCCUCAGUGAGGAAAGCAUGGUAUUGGGAAGAGAGAUCUACUUGUUCUCAUUCAGCCCAGUGGUGUGAUCCUAAAACAAUAUCAACUAUCAUUUUAUCUAAGGUUGCAGUAAUAGUUGAAAAAUCCUUGAAGGAAUCAAUUUUAUAUCAUUCACUCAAAUUCUUGCAGUGCUUAUUAUAAGUAACAAAUAAUUUAUAAUAAAUACUGAGGUAGAGAACUUUGAUCUAUAUUCAGAACAUUAAAAAAAACUCAUCUUAAUGAAAAAAAAAAAUAAAGCAGCCACAGGCUCCUGCUCUAUCUUGAACAGCCACAAGAGAAAGAACUGAGCUGAGAAUUAUAUCACUCAUCUUCUUUUCACUUCAAGGAAUAGACUCAUGUUUCUCCAAGUUUAUUUUAUUUUUUGCAAAAGUGAAUACUUGGAAGACUACAAGAUCACUGUUUUCUAACUUUCUAAAAAAGAAGAAGUGAACAUGAUGAUAGUGGGUGAUUUAAUGGAAUCAGUUUGUCAACAUGAUGGAACUGAAAAAGCUUUUACAGAAUAUGCGUGCCCAUGCUAAGCAACAACAAAAAUCCUCUAAAACCCACCUUUAACUUAAUGUAUGGAGUAUAGAGUGGAUUUUUCCCCCAUGACAAAAGAAAGAAAUAUUAUUAAUUUGGACAGUAAAUAUAAUGUUCUGCUAAAAACCUCUGUAGUAAGCCACAGAAUUGCAUCCUCACCAGACAAAUGAAGACAGGCAAGUUCUAGGUUUUAUAAAACAGUCAUAAGAGUUUUAAGCUCAGUUGUUUGGUAAGUGACAAGAAAAAUUCUAGGCAAUUUCACUCUGUUCUGGUAGUACCUGGACUAAGAGUUUUAAAGAUUUAGAGAUAAUAGAUGUUUUUAAAAUAAAAUCUGUUUUGUUUAC
Long non-coding RNA from Perognathus longimembris pacificus (Pacific pocket mouse), 1528 nucleotides. RefSeq lists it as uncharacterized. The record is from RefSeq and is a predicted model, not a curated record. The transcript is spliced from 4 exons. NCBI's taxonomy places the organism in Eukaryota, Metazoa, Chordata, Mammalia, Rodentia, Heteromyidae.